GAUGGGAGCUUGCUCCCUGAUGUUAGCGGCGGACGGGUGAGAACACGUGGGUAACCUGCCUGUAAGACUGGGAUAACUCCGGGAAACCGGGGCUAAUACCGGAUGGUUGUUUGAACCGCAUGGUUCAAACAUAAAAGGUGGCUUCGGCUACCACUUACAGAUGGACCCGCGGCGCAUUAGCUAGUUGGUGAGGUAACGGCUCACCAAGGCAACGAUGCGUAGCCGACCUGAGAGGGUGAUCGGCCACACUGGGACUGAGACACGGCCCAGACUCCUACGGGAGGCAGCAGUAGGGAAUCUUCCGCAAUGGACGAAAGUCUGACGGAGCAACGCCGCGUGAGUGAUGAAGGUUUUCGGAUCGUAAAGCUCUGUUGUUAGGGAAGAACAAGUACCGUUCGAAUAGGGCGGUACCUUGACGGUACCUAACCAGAAAGCCACGGCUAACUACGUGCCAG
Molecule: ribosomal RNA, 455 nt
Filed under: Bacillus subtilis
Lineage: Bacteria; Bacillati; Bacillota; Bacilli; Caryophanales; Bacillaceae
Description: bacterial SSU rRNA
Rfam family: Bacterial small subunit ribosomal RNA
Source: RNAcentral